This 332-nucleotide ribosomal RNA is filed under the name uncultured Gemmatimonas sp. RNAcentral's name for it is "bacterial SSU rRNA". It matches the Rfam family "Bacterial small subunit ribosomal RNA", at positions 568 to 898 of the family's 1533-position model. The record is from RNAcentral. Lineage: Bacteria; Pseudomonadati; Gemmatimonadota; Gemmatimonadia; Gemmatimonadales; Gemmatimonadaceae.
CGCGUAGGUGGCUCGUUAAGCGUGUGGUGAAAGCCUGGGGCUCAACCCCAGGUCUGCCGUGCGAACUGGCGAGCUUGAGCAGAGUAGAGGCGGGUGGAAUUUCGGGUGUAGCGGUGGAAUGCGUAGAUAUCCGAAAGAACACCGGUGGCGAAGGCGGCCCGCUGGGCUCUUGCUGACACUGAUGCGCGACAGCGUGGGGAGCAAACAGGAUUAGAUACCCUGGUAGUCCACGCCGUAAACGAUGGGUACUAGGCGUCUGGGGGAGCGACCCCCUGGGUGCCGGCGCUAACGCAUGAAGUACCCCGCCUGGGGAGUACGGCCGCAAGGCUGAA